Molecule: long non-coding RNA, 1080 nt
Filed under: Homo sapiens (human)
Lineage: Eukaryota; Metazoa; Chordata; Mammalia; Primates; Hominidae
Description: HSALNT0066220
Source: RNAcentral
GUUUUGAACAAAGUAAUGAAGGUGUCAACUUGGUGGUGAAAAUGAAUUUGUCCAUGCAUCGGUCAACAUAGAACAAGCCCCAGAAAGGUGGUCCCAGAUAGUGACAGAAGCAGUUCCUGGACCGGAAGACCUAGUGAACUGGACAGGUUCAACCAGGAGCAACCUAAAGGCUGGGGAAUGAGGACAGCUAAGGCUGUGGCUCCAUUCUCAGCUGGACUUUUCCUUGGUUGGUCUUCAUUCACGUUGCCUAUUAUGAGGAUGGCUUCCUCGUGAACUCCAAGCAGCUCCAAACAGGAAACCUGGUUUCCUCAAAAUGUGGUUUGUUUACAAGUGGUGAUAUACGCGAUUUUACAUGUACAUGGAUAAGUUAAAAAUAGUGUGGAUAUUGCAUUGGAAAACACAUAAAACAUGCCUGAGCAAGAUACUAAUUGCCAAAUAAGGAUAAAUUGGAAGACAAGGAGAGGAAUGAUGGGGACGUGCGUGUGGAAAGAUGGAGAAUGAAACUAGAAAAGCUAAUAUCACAAGGUGGCAGCCCAUAUGCAAGUGGCGUUUCAUGGAACUUCUUCAAUAUGUAAGUGAAAUAUCUGAGGUCUGGAGAAGACAAUUACCCAGGAUCACACAAGAAGUUAGUUAUAGGGCAAUGACUAGAACUUGAGGCUUUGCUUCAUAAUUGAGUGACUUUUUAAAAAUUCAGCUUCUCCCUUCUCCUUAAAAAAGAAAUAUUUUGUUACAUACAGGUAAUGCUGUACACUUUCAACAUUAUUCAAACCUUUAUUUAUAUAUUAUUUGUUGUUUUCAAUUUGAUUCAGAAAAAAUUUGUCUGGAAGAUGUUUCAUUUCAUUUGAAAGAGUGCAUAAAUAGAUCCAAAUGAUUAAAACCAGUUUAAAAAAAUUAGUUCAUGUAAGUAAAAUAUUUUUGAAAGAAAAAAGGUGAGGCUUUGACAGAGAGACAAUGCUGUUUAAUGAUAAGAGGAGAGCAAAGUAUCACAGGGACUCAGAUAAAUCCUGGUCCUCUCCAAUCCACAGAAAGACUUUAAACAAUGUACUUAGAUUCUUGGGGUCUUGGUUUCUAUAACACUGG